UGGGGAAUAUUGCACAAUGGGCGAAAGCCUGAUGCAGCAACGCCGCGUGAGUGAUGAAGGUCUUCGGAUUGUAAAGCUCUGUCUUUUGGGACGAUAAUGACGGUACCAAAGGAGGAAGCCACGGCUAACUACGUGCCAGCAGCCGCGGUAAUACGUAGGUGGCGAGCGUUGUCCGGAUUUACUGGGCGUAAAGGGUGCGUAGGCGGAUGUUUAAGUGAGAUGUGAAAUACCCGGGCUUAACUUGGGUGCUGCAUUUCAAACUGGAUAUCUAGAGUGCAGGAGAGGAGAAUGGAAUUCCUAGUGUAGCGGUGAGAUGCGUAGAGAUUAGGAAGAACACCAGUGGCGAAGGCGAUUCUCUGGACUGUAACUGACGCUGAGGCACGAAAGCGUGGGUAGCAAACAGGAUUAGAUACCCUGGUAGUCCACGCCGUAAACGAUGAGUACUAGGUGUAGGAGGUAUCGACCCCUUCUGUGCCGCAGUAAAC
Molecule: ribosomal RNA, 485 nt
Filed under: uncultured bacterium
Lineage: Bacteria
Description: partial 16S ribosomal RNA
Rfam family: Bacterial small subunit ribosomal RNA
Source: RNAcentral